RNAcentral lists this ribosomal RNA (450 nucleotides) under uncultured bacterium. Its description in RNAcentral is "partial 16S ribosomal RNA". It matches the Rfam family "Bacterial small subunit ribosomal RNA", at positions 354 to 796 of the family's 1533-position model. The record is from RNAcentral.
GUGGGGAAUAUUGGACAAUGGGCGGAAGCCUGAUCCAGCCAUGCCGCGUGUGUGAAGAAGGUCUUCGGAUUGUAAAGCACUUUAAGUUGGGAGGAAGAGUAGUAACCUAAUACGUUGCUACUUUGACGUUACCGACAGAAUAAGCACCGGCUAACUUCGUGCCAGCAGCCGCGGUAAUACGAAGGGUGCAAGCGUUAAUCGGAAUUACUGGGCGUAAAGCGCGCGUAGGUGGUUCAGUAAGUUGGAAGUGAAAUCCCCGGGCUCAACCUGGGAACUGCUUUCAAAACUGCUGAGCUAGAGUACGGUAGAGGGUGGUGGAAUUUCCUGUGUAGCGGUGAAAUGCGUAGAUAUAGGAAGGAACACCAGUGGCGAAGGCGACCACCUGGACUGAUACUGACACUGAGGUGCGAAAGCGUGGGGAGCAAACAGGAUUAGAAACCCCGGUAGUCC